GCCCCUAUUGUCGAGUGGUUCAGGACAUCUCUCUUUCAAGGAGGCAUCGGGGAUUCGACUUCCCCUAGGGGUA
This is a non-coding RNA of Triticum aestivum (bread wheat), 73 nucleotides long. Lineage: Eukaryota; Viridiplantae; Streptophyta; Magnoliopsida; Poales; Poaceae. The record is from Rfam.